AYGGYGGAGACCUAGGCACCCAGAGACGAUGAAGGGCGCAGAUACCGGCGAAACGCUUCGGGGAACUGGCAACGAGUUUUGAUCCGAAGAUCCCCGAAUAGGGCAACCUCAAGAACUACCUAUGAAUUCAUAAGUAGGAUAGAGACAACCCAGUGAAUUGAAACAUCUUAGUAACUGGCGGAAAAGAAAGCAAACGCGAUUCCCGUAGUAGCGGCGAGCGAACCGGGAACAGCCUAAACCUGUAAAAAGGGGUAGUGGGAAGACAUAUAUGCUCUUAGAAAAUAGCAAUUUUUAAAAAGUAUAAAAAAGCAAUAUAUUUUAUAUUGCGGUAUAAGUCUAUGUCCUUAUUAUAAAUCGUCUUUUAUAAAGACAACGUCUUUAUAAAUGCUAAUCGCAUUUAUAAGAUGGCUCUUUUUUAAAAAAGUGGGCGGAAUGUAGUAUUUAUAAACACUCGGAUGUGAAUGUUAAUGUGAAUGUUAAUGUGAAUGUUAAUGUGAAUGUUAAUGUGAAUGUUAAUGUGAAUGGGGUGUUUAUAAAAUGGCCAUAGAUGUAAACCUCGUAUUAAACGAAGCAGCUGAAUCCUGCACCAUAGAUGGUGAAAGUCCAGUAGUUGAAAACGAAAAAAAAGUCAUAUCCCGAGUAGCAUGGGACACGUGGAAUCCCGUGUGAAUCAGCGAGGACCACCUCGUAAGGCUAAAUACUCCUGGGUGACCGAUAGUGCAAAGUACCGCGAGGGAAUGGUUAAAAGAACCCCUGUAGGGGAGUGAAAUAGAACAUGAAACCGUAAGCUGACAAGCAGUGGGAGGCCCAAAAAGGAGGGCUGACCGCGUGCCUGUUGAAGAAUGAGUCUGCGACUUAUAGGGAGUGGCAAGGUUAAAGAAGAAAAUCUGGAGCCUUAGCGAAAGCGAGUCUUAAUAGGGCGCAUAAAAAAGUCACUUCUUAUGGACCCGAACCCGGGUGAUCUAUUCAUGGCCAGAAUGAAGCUAGGGUAAUACCUAGUGAAGGUUCGAACCGACCGAUGUUGAAAAAUCGGCGGAUGAGCUGUGAAUAGGGGAGAAAUUCCAAUCGAACUCGGAGCUAGCUGGAUCUCCCCGAAAUGCGUUGAGGCGCAGCGGUGGCUAUGAGCUAUCUAGAGGUAAAGCGACUGUUUCGAUGCGGGCUGCGAAAGCGGUACCAAGUCGUGGCAAACUCAGAAUACUAGAUAUAGCCUUCAGUCAACCAGUGAAACACGUCGGGAUAAGCUGAUGUGUUAAGAGGGAAACAGCCCAGAUCACCAGCUAAGGCCCCAAAAUGAGUUACUAAGUGGAGAAGGAUGUGAUGAUGCUAAAACAACCAGAAUAUUCGCUUAGAAGCAGCUACUAUUGAAAGAGUGCGUAAUAGCUCACUGGUAAAGCGUUGUUGCGCCGAAAAUGGCCGGGACUAAGUAACCUGCCGAAGCUGUGAUAUUUUUUAUAAAAUUGCAAAUGCGAUUCCUAAAGAAUAGGUAGGGGAGCGUUCCCUUAUCGGGUGAAGUUCUCACGGAAGUGGGGAUGGACGAAUGGGAAGUGAGAUUGUAGAUUUGAGUAACGAAAACAUUGGUGAGAAUCCAAUGCCCCGAAAACCUAAGGGUUCCUCCACUAGGUUCGUCCAUGGGGGGUGAGUCAGGUCCUAAGGCUAGUUCGAUAAAUCGAAGUCGUCGAUGGGAAACAGGUUAAUAUUCCUGUACUGAUUUUAUUGGGAACCAAGUGACGAAGGAGACUAAACAGAAACUGCUUCUGGAUUUCAGUGGAAGCAUUAAGGUGUUGAGAGCUAGAAUAAAAACUAUGCUUGAGCUGAGAUGUGAUCCCUCUAUUAUUGUGAUUUAUGCUUUCGGGUAUAUAUCCACGGUAAUGGAGUCUGUGAUGUCAAACUUCCAAGAAAAGCUUGAACACCUUAACAAUAAAAUUACCUGUACCUGAAACCGACACAGGUAGGUUGGUAGAGAAUACCAAGGGGCGCGAGAGAACUCUCUCUAAGGAACUCGGCAAACUGGCCCCGUAACUUCGGAAGAAGGGGCGCCCUUUUUAUUUUUUCUAUAAAAAAGGGUCGCAGUGACCAGGCUCAAGCAACUGUUUAUCAAAAACACAGGUCUCCGCAAAGUCGUAAGACGAUAUAUGGGGGCUGACGCCUGCCCAGUGCCGGAAGGUUAAGGAAGUUGGUUAUUGAGUAAUCAAGAAGCUGACGACCGAAGCCCCGGUGAACGGCGGCCGUAACUAUAACGGUCCUAAGGUAGCGAAAUUCAUUGCCAAGUAAGUUUUGGCCUGCACGAAAGGCGUAAUGAUUUGAGCGCUGUCUCGGAGAGAGACUCGGUGAAAUAGACUUGUCCCGUGAAGAUGCGGACUACCUACACUUGGACAGAAAGACCCUAUGAAGCUUGACUGUAUCCUGGAAUUGGGUUCGGGCUUUUCUUGCGCAGCCUAGGUGGGAGGCUUUGAAGAUUUCCUUCCGGGGAAGUUGGAGCCAUCAGUGAGAGACCACUCUGGAAGAGCUAGAAUCCUAAUGGUGAUCUUUGAAUCAAGACACUUGACAGUUUCAGGUGGGCAGUUUAUCUGGGGCGGAUGCCUCAUAAAGUGUAACUGAGGCGUGCAAUGGUUCUCUCAGUCUGGACGGAAAUCAGACAUUGAGUGCAAAGGCAAAAGAGAGCUUGACUGUAAGACCAACAAGUCGAGCAGGGGCGAAAGCCGGCCUUAGUGAUCCGACGGUGCCGAGUGGAAGGGCCGUCGCUCAACGGAUAAAAGUUACUCUAGGGAUAACAGGCUGAUCUUCCCCAAGAGUCCAUAUCGACGGGAAGGUUUGGCACCUCGAUGUCGGCUUGUCACAUCCUGGAGCGGCAGUACGUUCCAAGGGUUGGGCUGUUCGCCCAUUAAAGUGGUACAUGAGCUGGGUUCAAAACGUCGUGAGACAGUUCGGUCCAUAUCCG
RNAcentral lists this ribosomal RNA (2938 nucleotides) under Chlorococcum echinozygotum. RNAcentral describes it as "LSU rRNA". It matches the Rfam family "Bacterial large subunit ribosomal RNA", at positions 21 to 2644 of the family's 2925-position model. The record is from RNAcentral. Lineage: Eukaryota; Viridiplantae; Chlorophyta; Chlorophyceae; Chlamydomonadales; Chlorococcaceae.